GAAAAAAUCAGUAAAAAUUCUGAGAAUUUGAGUCGGUGAAAUGGCAGCAGCAUCAGCAACUACUCUCUCAGUUGGUUCCGCCACAUCCUUUGGCUCCAUAGUGAGCCCAAAAUUACAAUCAAAGGCCUUUAUUGCGAAAUGCAAUACCAGGGACUACCUUAGGAGUUUCAGUGGCCUUAAGGCAGAGGCAUUUGUACGAUGUGAAUCCGAGUCGUCAUUUCUAGGAAAUGAAAGCAUUGCAGCUCUUCGACAAUCCAUUACUCCUAAAGCCCGAAACCAAAAGCAGAGAUCUUCGAACCAUGUUCAGCCUCAAGCAUCUUAUAAAGUGGCUGUUCUCGGAGCCUCUGGCGGUAUAGGCCAGCCUCUAGCUCUUCUGAUUAAGAUGUCACCGCUAGUAUCAUCGUUGCACCUUUAUGAUAUUGCAAAUGUCAAAGGAGUCGCAGCAGAUCUCAGCCAUUGCAACACUCCCGCUCAGGUUUUUGACUUUACGGGAGCUUCUGAGUUGGCCAAUUCUUUGAAAGGUAUAGAUGUAGUUGUCAUACCAGCUGGCGUUCCGAGAAAGCCUGGUAUGACACGGGACGACUUGUUCAACAUAAAUGCUAAUAUUGUGAAAAGCUUGGUUGAGGCUGUUGCUGACAAUUGCCCAGAUGCCUUUAUCCACAUUAUCAGCAAUCCAGUCAACUCCACAGUGCCGAUUGCUGCCGAGGUUCUGAAGCAAAAGGGUGUGUAUGAUCCUAAAAAACUCUUUGGUGUUACCACCCUGGACGUUGUCAGAGCAAACACAUUCGUCGCGCAGAAGAAAAACCUGAAACUCAUUGACGUUGACGUCCCCGUGAUUGGUGGGCAUGCAGGGAUAACAAUUCUGCCAUUGCUGUCAAAGACAAGACCAUCAACUACUUUCACGGACGAAGAAGUGCAGGAACUAACCGUGAGGAUCCAAAACGCUGGGACCGAGGUCGUUGAAGCAAAGGCUGG
Molecule: unclassified non-coding RNA, 975 nt
Filed under: Hevea brasiliensis (rubber tree)
Lineage: Eukaryota; Viridiplantae; Streptophyta; Magnoliopsida; Malpighiales; Euphorbiaceae
Source: RNAcentral